GACGAACGCUGGCGGCGUGCUUAACACAUGCAAGUCGAACGGAAAGGCCCUGCUUUUGUGGGGUGCUCGAGUGGCGAACGGGUGAGUAACACGUGAGUAACCUGCCCUUGACUUUGGGAUAACUUCAGGAAACUGGGGCUAAUACCGGAUAGGAGCUCCUGCUGCAUGGUGGGGGUUGGAAAGUUUCGGCGGUUGGGGAUGGACUCGCGGCUUAUCAGCUUGUUGGUGGGGUAGGGGCUUACCAAGGCUUUGACGGGUAGCCGGCCUGAGAGGGUGACCGGCCACAUUGGGACUGAGAUACGGCCCAGACGCCUACGGGAGGCAGCAGUGGGGAAUAUUGCACAAUGGGCGGAAGCCUGAGGCAACAACGCCGCGUGCGGGAUGACGUCCUUCGAGUUGUAAACCGCUUUCGCCUGUGACGAAGCGUGAGUGACGGUAAUGGGUAAAGAAGCACCGGCUAACUACGUG
RNAcentral lists this ribosomal RNA (468 nucleotides) under uncultured bacterium. RNAcentral's name for it is "partial 16S ribosomal RNA". It matches the Rfam family "Bacterial small subunit ribosomal RNA", at positions 28 to 507 of the family's 1533-position model. The record is from RNAcentral.